UGUGCUGUCGCACCAUUUGUCGUUUGUCUGUUCCGCGGCUUUUCGUCUGUGUAUUCAAAAAGUAUUUACUGAGUGCCACCGUGAUCUCGACAGAUAGCCACGGCCCCUGCCGUUAUGGAGGUUACCGAGUGGCGGAGGAGGCCGACAUCAGUCAAAGUUGAAGGUAAAAAUUGCCGAUCAACUGUAAAAUUGUAACAUCAAUCUUCCGAGUCUUCAGGCUGCUCUUCUCUGUUUUCUCCCAAGGAUUGUCAGUUUGGGGGCGUGAAUGGCCACAAAACUGGUCACAAUAUACCUGGAGUAUGCCAAAAUGGCAGGAAAAGUAUUCCCCAUCCCACAUGUGCUUAGUGUGUGAAUUUAACACUCUUCCUCUCAAGAAAUGGGGUUGAUGUUCCCUAUCCUUAAUCUGGGCAUGCUUGUGACUGGAGCAAAAGUGAUUUUUCCAGUCUAGGUGAUAAAAGGUGAUGCAGCAUGUGCUUAAUUUUCUUGCGUGCUUACUCUUGGAACCCAACCAGCAAGCCGUGCAGAAGCCUGAGUUUGUUGUAGGUGUUUUGGCUGUCAGUUCAAGCUGAGGUCUCAGCCGAAAGGCAUCAUCAGCCACCAGAUGCGAGAGUGAACGAACCUUUGGAUGAUUGCAGCCCCCAACUGUCAAGUCACUAACAGCCUUCCAGACUUCCAAAUUGGAGCCCCAGAAAUUGUGGAGCAGAGACAUCCUCACUAGGCUUUUUCUGAAUUCCUGACCUACAGAAUUUGGGGGCAUAAUAAAUGGUUAUUUCAUACUUUUAA
Long non-coding RNA from Equus quagga, 783 nucleotides. RefSeq lists it as uncharacterized. NCBI's taxonomy places the organism in Eukaryota, Metazoa, Chordata, Mammalia, Perissodactyla, Equidae. The record is from RefSeq and is a predicted model, not a curated record. The transcript has 2 exons.